GCNNAGUGCGGUCCUGCAGAAGAAGCGCCGGCUACUACGUGCCAGCAGCCGCGGUAAUACGUAGGGCGCAAGCGUUGUCCGGAAUUAUUGGGCGUAAAGAGCUCGUAGGCGGUCUGUCGCGUCUGGUGUGAAAUCCCAUGGCUCAACUGUGGGCUUGCAUCGGGUACGGGCAGACUAGAGUGCUGUAGGGGAGACUGGAAUUCCUGGUGUAGCGGUGGAAUGCGCAGAUAUCAGGAGGAACACCGAUGGCGAAGGCAGGUCUCUGGGCAGUUACUGACGCUGAGGAGCGAAAGCAUGGGGAGCGAACAGGAUUAGAUACCCUGGUAGUCCAAGGNCG
This 337-nucleotide ribosomal RNA is filed under the name uncultured bacterium. RNAcentral's name for it is "bacterial SSU rRNA". It matches the Rfam family "Bacterial small subunit ribosomal RNA", at positions 466 to 803 of the family's 1533-position model. The record is from RNAcentral.